ACCCCAAGCCCUCUCCUCCUUUCUACACCAACCUGAUCCAGUCAAAUCUUCCUGCGCCCCUCAUCUAGUUGAAUGUUCCUCGAGUAGUUAGCUCGAUCCCCAAAGAGUUCUUCCAGGUUAGAACCUCCAGCCUUUUCUACUGAAAUAGCCUGCAGUUUUAGUGUUUGUAUACUCUCUAUUGGAUUCUAUCCUGUCAUUUUUCACAUUUGAGAAACAGAUGAAACUCCCAUUGUUAAGUAGCUUGUUAAUUUUGAGCCGGAUAUGUAUUUGCUUACUAACAUGUGCAGGAAUUUCAGCUACAGUAAACUGAGAAGCUGUCGAUCCGUGGUUUGGUAAACUGAGAAGUUGUAUUGUUAAUCCAUAGCCUGUGCCUGCUCACUUCCUAGUUGCUCUUGCUCUUGCAGUCUAAUCACCUCCGCUGGCCGGAGAGGACGGGAGCUUCUCUCUCCCUGUUCAUAUCCAGAUCCAGAGUAGAUAAUAGAUACUGUAUGUUCCAGCGUUGUCUUCUCGAUGCAACCUCAAGCGGCCGGACAGCAGUAAAGCGUCUCGCCCAGAUCUUAAACUUACAGAAGCGAGCGGGGCAGCGUCCCUUCAGAUCCGAG
RNAcentral lists this long non-coding RNA (602 nucleotides) under Triticum aestivum (bread wheat). RNAcentral's name for it is "long non-coding RNA (TAES_LNC018591)". The record is from RNAcentral. Lineage: Eukaryota; Viridiplantae; Streptophyta; Magnoliopsida; Poales; Poaceae.